This 447-nucleotide ribosomal RNA is filed under the name uncultured bacterium. Its description in RNAcentral is "partial 16S ribosomal RNA". It matches the Rfam family "Bacterial small subunit ribosomal RNA", at positions 29 to 523 of the family's 1533-position model. The record is from RNAcentral.
AAUGAACGCUGGCGGCAGGCCUAACACAUGCAAGUCGAGCGCCCCGCAAGGGGAGCGGCGGACGGGUGAGUAACGCGUGGGAACGUGCCUCUUGCUACGGAAUAGCCUCGGGAAACUGGGAGUAAUACCGUAUGUGCCCUACGGGGGAAAGAUUUAUCGGCAAGAGAUCGGCCCGCGUUGGAUUAGGUAGUUGGUGGGGUAAUGGCCUACCAAGCCGACGAUCCAUAGCUGGUUUGAGAGGAUGAUCAGCCACACUGGGACUGAGACACGGCCCAGACUACUACGGGAGGCAGCAGUGGGGAAUCUUAGACAAUGGGCGCAAGCCUGAUCUAGCCAUGCCGCGUGAGCGAUGAAGGCCUUAGGGUUGUAAAGCUCUUUCGUGGGGGAAGAUAAUGACUGUACCCCAAGAAGAAGCCCCGGCUAACUCCGUGCCAGCCGCCGCAGUAA